CCAACUGAAUCUCAGCAAAAAGCGAAAAAAACUCCAGGCUCAAGGUUCGGGAAGGAGAGACAAUGGAAAAGGAACUCAUUUGCAAGGUGCCCACCUUGGAACCCCAACACCCGACCAAAGGGCAGGAAAAACAAAGAAAGGAGAAGACAAAUGUCUCCAGACAGAGCUACACGUACAAAACAGCAAAAUUAUCGCCACACGAAAGGUUUCUAGCCACAGGUCUCCAUGACAACUGAGGAAGAGCACCCUAACAACAGCAAGAAGACGUCUUGCCAAAUAUGAAAAUGUGAUACCCAUCACCUAACACUCGCGUAAGAAAAACGAGGCUCCACACUGUGUACUUUUAAAAAUACAGCUUUUAUUCUGA
This is a long non-coding RNA of Suricata suricatta (meerkat), 367 nucleotides long. RefSeq lists it as uncharacterized. NCBI's taxonomy places the organism in Eukaryota, Metazoa, Chordata, Mammalia, Carnivora, Herpestidae. The record is from RefSeq and is a predicted model, not a curated record. The transcript is spliced from 2 exons.